Molecule: long non-coding RNA, 679 nt
Filed under: Citrus sinensis (sweet orange)
Lineage: Eukaryota; Viridiplantae; Streptophyta; Magnoliopsida; Sapindales; Rutaceae
Description: long non-coding RNA (CSIN_LNC000819)
Source: RNAcentral
UGUUGAUGCUGAAAUCUGCUCGUCCUUAGACCGACCAGAUUCUUUCACCAACGUUUACGUUAUUGACUGUUGCUCGAACCACUCAGGCUGGAAUCACCUUCUUUUCCCUCGCUAGACCUGCGUUCACCAAAAACGGAUCAGAGACGCCGGUGGUUUUGCCGGCGUAAACCCUCCGAUGCCUAAGUUAGCACAAGGUGUUUACGGGAAAACAGUGUAAUAUGAUUUCAGGAAAUUUGUAAGGAAAUGGCCUGGUUGCAAUUUGGCAGCGUUUCCCCUCUCUCUCUUUUUUUUAUCUCCCUAUCUUCUUCGAUGUCUUUCUCUUUUAUAGCCGCCCUUUGUCCCACGUUUUCCGUUUGCCCCUGAUUCCUCCUUUUUCGGGUGGUGGUAGCCCCUCAUGGGACUCUAACUGUUAGAUUGUGGGCAAACGUGGAUCUCGCGUGUCCUUCAACCGUUCUGGGAGAAACGCAACUACCGCGGUUUUGUGGGAUCGUGUUCCCGCUUUCCUGGGGAUGAGUAUUGGCUCGGCAUAUAUUUCUGGUCGGUAUGUUUCCCUGGUUGUUCUCUCCUCUGAUCGGCUCAUGCUUGCCCACAUGCUCUGCUCGUAUAUAAGAGAUGAAGCAAUCCGUUCUGGGAUGGAACUAGUUGCAUGGCCGACCUGGUGUUCUUCAUGCACUCAACA